UUCGGCGGACAGACGGCCGCGGGCUGUGAGAAGCAGUUCGAGGAAAGUCCGAACACGGCAGGACACGGUGGUGGGUAACGCCCACCGGGUCGCAGGUUGAGGCCCAGGGAAAGUGCCACAGAAAACAAACCGCCGCGGAAGUUCGCUUCCUCGGUAAGGGUGAAAUGGUGCGGUAAGAGCGCACCGCUCCGCUGGUGACAGUGGAGGCAGGGUAAACCCCACCGCGUGCAAGCGCAAGCAGUUCUCGGUCGCCCCGCGCGACGCCCGUGGUCCGCGGGAUGAGAACGGGUCGCGUGCUCGAGAUCGUCGGCAACGGCGAUCCCAGAUGAAUGGCCGUCACCCGCAACCGCCCGUCGUGAGAUGGGACCACGCGGGAACAGAAUUCGGCUUACGUCCGCCACAACCA
This 406-nucleotide RNase P RNA is filed under the name Phycisphaerales bacterium. RNAcentral's name for it is "RNase P RNA component class A". It matches the Rfam family "Bacterial RNase P class A". From Rfam's summary of the family: Ribonuclease P (RNase P) is a ubiquitous endoribonuclease, found in archaea, bacteria and eukarya as well as chloroplasts and mitochondria. Its best characterised activity is the generation of mature 5'-ends of tRNAs by cleaving the 5'-leader elements of precursor-tRNAs. Cellular RNase Ps are ribonucleoproteins. The record is from RNAcentral. Lineage: Bacteria; Pseudomonadati; Planctomycetota; Phycisphaerae; Phycisphaerales.